UCAUUAACAAAUGACUUCUUGAAAAAGAAGUGGAAGGGUAUAGAUUUAGCUUGAAGAUAGUAUGCUCUCGGGUAUAUUGUUGGAUGGUGAGGUUUAUAUCUUUUAUCAUUUUAGUACCAGAUGUAGGCUUCGGUUUGCAUUUGAGCUAGGAAAAAGUAUCUAUGUUAGUACUAGGAUUGCUACUUGUAGUGGUUUUAGGGUAUUUGCUGAUAUAGUAAGUGGGAAUACUUUUUUGUUGUGUUGCUAAUUAGUAAAGAUUAUUAUUAGUAGCUAGAAUGAAUGGAAGUAGUUAUUAGAAAACUUUAAGAGUAUUAGUGCAAGGGAGUGCUAGGUUUUAUAUUUAUAUAAGGCUGGGUUAAAGCUUGUACUAGUAUUUUUAGAGUGAUUUAGUAAUUAUUGAAGUUUGUUUUAGUUAUGAGCAUUUUUGAUAUUGAUUAGUAGUAUAAUAAGAGGGUAGUUUUGUUUAUUAUAAAGGUAGAUGCCAUACUUGCUAAAAAUGCUGAUAUCUUUUGUAGUAGUUUAAUUUAGAGCAUUAUUGUUUUAGAUUAGUCUACCUAAGGGGGGUAUUAUAUUUUAUAGAGUUGCUUUAGGUGAAGUUAUGUUAGGAAUUUGGCUAUGCUUUAGUUUGAUAGUAUUGCAAUUAUUGGUAUAUUAAGCGGUAUGUUUUAUAAAUGUAUUGUUUGGUAUAUUGAGAAGUUGUAGUAUUGUUUGGCUGGAGUAUAAUUAGAUUUUUAGUAUGGCUUUUCUUGGAGUAAUUUUGUAGUAUAUAGUAUUCUUUGGGGUAUUUUAAUUUAAUAUGAUGAUUGUUUUAGGUUAAAUUGCUGUAAGGGAUUAAGGUACUAUAGUUGGUAUGAUGAGAUAGAGAAAUAACUUUGUAAAUAAGGGGUAAAAUCCUUAAACCAUACCAAUUUAAAAAUAAAACAAAAAAAAUACGACUUAUAACAAUGGAUCUCUCGGCUCUUACAUCGAUGAAGAACGUAGUGAAAUGCGAUACAUAAUAUGAAUUGCAGAUCUUGUGAAUCAUCGAGUCUUUGAACGCACUUUGCACCAAUCGAAAGAUUGGUAUGUUUGUUUGAGUACUUCUUACACCUGCCUCAGAAACUUGUUUUUGAGAAUUUGGGCUUAACAGUAAUUUUAAUUGCUGUAGACCUUAAAUAUUAGUAAGGGUUUAUUUCCAGGUAUCAGAGAGUUCGCUCUGUGGUAUCUCGUUAUUAACUUCUGAAUGAUGGCUAGUUAUUUUGACUGACUAAUUGUAAUGUGUUUAAGCUUUUUAUCAUUGUUUUGAUAUUGAAUGCCCCGGGCUCUGCUCAAGGUAGUUAGUAUUUUGAUGGUGGUAGAGGGUAGAGAUGCUUUAUAAUUGGAAGGAAUUGAUAGCUAGUUUGAAUUCUAGCUUCCUUCGUAAGUACUCUAAAUCAAGCUAGCCACUCCUAA
RNAcentral lists this ribosomal RNA (1431 nucleotides) under Pandora nouryi. RNAcentral describes it as "eukaryotic LSU rRNA". The stretch from base 934 to 1082 matches the Rfam family "5.8S ribosomal RNA". Lineage: Eukaryota; Fungi; Entomophthoromycota; Entomophthoromycetes; Entomophthorales; Entomophthoraceae. The record is from RNAcentral.